CUCCUCUCUCAGAUAAGGAGAUGAACUUUCAUCAGUAGCGUCCGAGCACCUUCUAAAUAGGGACAGAAUGAUCGGCAAGACUUCCAGUAAUUUUGCGGAUCUCAGCAUCUCUAGAGAGAGCAGAGGAAAGCCCUCUCCCUUACUGAUAUGUGUAAGAGGAGGAAUGCCUUCUAUAGGGAGAGCUCUUUACGCGCGCGCGUGUGUGUUUUAGAUUCAAGAUCCGCGCGAGAAUAGAAAGCAGCAAUGCUUAGCGGUCAUGCUCUUAGGUAAGCCACUGGCUUUGGAUCUGCCUUGGGACA
RNAcentral lists this long non-coding RNA (299 nucleotides) under Elaeis guineensis (African oil palm). Its description in RNAcentral is "long non-coding RNA (EGUI_LNC053647)". The record is from RNAcentral. Lineage: Eukaryota; Viridiplantae; Streptophyta; Magnoliopsida; Arecales; Arecaceae.